GAUGAAGAACGCAGCGAAAUGCGAUAAGUAAUGUGAAUUGCAGAAUUCAGUGAAUCAUCGAAUCUUUGAACGCACAUUGCGCCCCCUGGUAUUCCGGGGGGCAUGCCUGUCCGAGCGUCAUUACAACCCUCAAGCUCAGCUUGGUGUUGAGCCCCGCCGCCCCGGCGGGCCCUAAAGUCAGUGGCGGUGCCGUCCGGCUCCGAGCGUAGUAAUUCUUCUCGCUCUGGAGGUCCGGUCGUGUGCUCGCCAGCAACCCCCAAUUUUUUUCAGGUUGACCUCGGAUCAGGUAGGGAUACCCGCUGAACUUAAGCAUAUCAAUAAGCGGAGGA
This 329-nucleotide unclassified non-coding RNA is filed under the name soil metagenome. RNAcentral's name for it is "partial contains 5.8S ribosomal RNA, internal transcribed spacer 2, and large subunit ribosomal RNA". The stretch from base 1 to 120 matches the Rfam family "5.8S ribosomal RNA", at positions 35 to 154 of the family's 154-position model. The record is from RNAcentral.